GGCAGGCUUAACACAUGCAAGUCGAGGGGCAGCAUGGUCUUAGCUUGCUAAGGCCGAUGGCGACCGGCGCACGGGUGAGUAACACGUAUCCAACCUGCCGUCUACUCUUGGACAGCCUUCUGAAAGGAAGAUUAAUACAAGAUGGCAUCAUGAGUCCGCAUGUUCACAUGAUUAAAGGUAUUCCGGUAGACGAUGGGGAUGCGUUCCAUUAGAUAGUAGGCGGGGUAACGGCCCACCUAGUCUUCGAUGGAUAGGGGUUCUGAGAGGAAGGUCCCCCACAUUGGAACUGAGACACGGUCCAAACUCCUACGGGAGGCAGCAGUGAGGAAUAUUGGUCAAUGGGCGAGAGCCUGAACCAGCCAAGUAGCGUGAAGGAUGACUGCCCUAUGGGUUGUAAACUUCUUUUAUAAAGGAAUAAAGUCGGGUAUGGAUACCCGUUUGCAUGUACUUUAUGAAUAAGGAUCGGCUAACUCCGUGCCAGCAGCCGCGGUAAUACGGAGGAUCCGAGCGUUAUCCGGAUUUAUUGGGUUUAAAGGGAGCGUAGAUGGAUGUUUAAGUCAGUUGCGAAAGUUUGCGGCUCAACCGUAAAAUUGCGGUUGAUACUGGAUAUCUUGAGUGCAGUUGAGGCAGGCGGAAUUCGUGGUGUAGCGGUGAAAUGCUUAGAUAUCACGAAGAACUCCGAUUGCGAAGGCAGCCUGCUAAGCUGCAACUGACAUUGAGGCUCGAAAGUGUGGGUAUCAAACAGGAUUAGAUACCCUGGUAGUCCACACGGUAAACGAUGAAUACUCGCUGUUUGCGAUAUACUGCAAGCGGCCAAGCGAAAGCGUUAAGUAUUCCACCUGGGGAGUACGCCGGCAACGGUGAAACUCAAAGGAAUUGACGGGGGCCCGCACAAGCGGAGGAACAUGUGGUUUAAUUCGAUGAUACGCGAGGAACCUUACCCGGGCUUAAAUUGCAGAUGAAUUACGGUGAAAGCCGUAAGCCGCAAGGCAUCUGUGAAGGUGCUGCAUGGUUGUCGUCAGCUCGUGCCGUGAGGUGUCGGCUUAAGUGCCAUAACGAGCGCAACCCUUGUUGUCAGUUACUAACAGGUUCCGCUGAGGACUCUGACAAGACUGCCAUCGUAAGAUGUGAGGAAGGUGGGGAUGACGUCAAAUCAGCACGGCCCUUACGUCCGGGGCUACACACGUGUUACAAUGGGGGGUACAGAGGGCCGCUACCACGCGAGUGGAUGCCAAUCCCCAAAACCUCUCUCAGUUCGGACUGGAGUCUGCAACCCGACUCCACGAAGCUGGAUUCGCUAGUAAUCGCGCAUCAGCCACGGCGCGGUGAAUACGUUCCCGGGCCUUGUACACACCGCCCGUCAAGCCAUGGGAGCCGGGGGUACCUGAAGUGCGUAACCGCGAGGAGCGCCCUAGGGUAAAACUGGUGACUGGGGCUAAGUCGU
RNAcentral lists this ribosomal RNA (1444 nucleotides) under uncultured organism. RNAcentral's name for it is "SSU rRNA". It matches the Rfam family "Bacterial small subunit ribosomal RNA". The record is from RNAcentral.